RNAcentral lists this long non-coding RNA (515 nucleotides) under Olea europaea subsp. europaea. Lineage: Eukaryota; Viridiplantae; Streptophyta; Magnoliopsida; Lamiales; Oleaceae. The record is from RNAcentral.
CAUAAGUGUAUAUAGUGUGCGCUCGCAUAAAUGUAUAUAUACACUUAUGUAUUGUCUUCUUAGGAAAAAUUGAAAGAUGCGAUUUUGCAUGCCUCUAACACUAACAUAAAAGAAGAUGCUCUUUCUAAAUUACUUGGUCCAUAGAAUAGUGGGCGAUUACGAGGGAUUGGAGGUGGAGUUUGCUAUACAAAGUAUUCCAUAUUAACUCAAAGGGAGUCUACUGUAGCUCAUUUAAAGGAAGAACAAAAUCAUCUAAAGGUUCAAGUGGCGGAUAUGGAGAAAAUAAUCAAUGACUUACUAAAAAAACUGGUUAGUAAGUUCCUUUAAGUGAAAUAUAACUCAUAUGCUUUUACUUCACAUGAUAUAGUAACGAGUUUUUAAUAUUUUUUAUCUUUGUAGUUUCAGGAAAAGCAAAGUGAAGAAUUAUCUAACAUUCAACCGUCUUCAUUGGUAAAAUUUAUCAUUCCUUUUAAUUGAUAAUAUAUAUUUAUUUUUAAAGUUGAUUAUAACCUGGC